AGUGAACGCUGGCGGUAGGCCUAACACAUGCAAGUCGAACGGCAGCACAGUAAGAGCUUGCUCUUACGGGUGGCGAGUGGCGGACGGGUGAGGAAUACAUCGGAAUCUACUUUUUCGUGGGGGAUAACGUAGGGAAACUUACGCUAAUACCGCAUACGACCUACGGGUGAAAGCAGGGGAACUUCGGACCUUGCGCGAUUGAAUGAGCCGAUGUCGGAUUAGCUAGUUGGCGGGGUAAAGGCCCACCAAGGCGACGAUCCGUAGCUGGUCUGAGAGGAUGAUCAGCCACACUGGAACUGAGACACGGUCCAGACUCCUACGGGAGGCAGCAGUGGGGAAUAUUGGACAAUGGGCGCAAGCCUGAUCCAGCCAUACCGCGUGGGUGAAGAAGGCCUUCGGGUUUUAAAGCCCUUUUGUUGGGAAAGAAAAGCAGCAGGUUAAUACCCCGCUGUUCUGACGGUACCCAAAGAAUAAGCACCGGCUAACUUCGUG
Molecule: ribosomal RNA, 492 nt
Filed under: uncultured bacterium
Lineage: Bacteria
Description: partial 16S ribosomal RNA
Rfam family: Bacterial small subunit ribosomal RNA
Source: RNAcentral